Molecule: ribosomal RNA, 485 nt
Filed under: uncultured bacterium
Lineage: Bacteria
Description: partial 16S ribosomal RNA
Rfam family: Bacterial small subunit ribosomal RNA
Source: RNAcentral
UUGAACGCUGGCGGCAUGCCUUACACAUGCAAGUCGAACGGCAGCACGGGUGCUUGCCCCUGGUGGCGAGUGGCGAACGGGUGAGUAAUACAUCGGAACAUGUCCUGUAGUGGGGGAUAGCCCGGCGAAAGCCGGAUUAAUACCGCAUACGAUCCACGGAUGAAAGCGGGGGACCUUCGGGCCUCGCGCUAUAGGGUUGGCCGAUGGCUGAUUAGCUAGUUGGUGGGGUAAAGGCCUACCAAGGCGACGAUCAGUAGCUGGUCUGAGAGGACGACCAGCCACACUGGGACUGAGACACGGCCCAGACUCCUACGGGAGGCAGCAGUGGGGAAUUUUGGACAAUGGGCGAAAGCCUGAUCCAGCAAUGCCGCGUGUGUGAAGAAGGCCUUCGGGUUGUAAAGCACUUUUGUCCGGAAAGAAAUCCUUGGCUCUAAUACAGUCGGGGGAUGACGGUACCGGAAGAAUAAGCACCGGCUAACUACGUG